This 522-nucleotide ribosomal RNA is filed under the name uncultured bacterium. RNAcentral describes it as "partial 16S ribosomal RNA". It matches the Rfam family "Bacterial small subunit ribosomal RNA", at positions 29 to 523 of the family's 1533-position model. The record is from RNAcentral.
AACGAACGCUGGCGGCGUGCUUAACACAGGCAAGUCGUACGAGAAACAUGUCCUUCGGGGCAUGGAGUAAAGUGGCGCACGGGUGAGUAACACGUGGGUAACCUACCCUGAGGAUCGGGAUAACUGGCCGAAAGGCCCGCUAAUACCGGAUAAGACCACAUGGGCUCUGGCCCAAGAGGUCAAAGUCGGCCUCUCGACGAAGCCGACACCACAGGAUGGGCCCGCGGACCAUUAGCUAGUUGGUGAGGUAACGGCUCACCAAGGCCGAGAUGGUUAGCUGGUAUGAGAGGAUGAUCAGCCACACUGGAACUGAGAGACGGUCCAGACUCCUACGGGAGGCAGCAGUGAGGAAUAUUGCGCAAUGGGGGAAACCCUGACGCAGCAACGCCGCGUGGGUGAAGAAGGCUUUCGGGUUGUAAAGCCCUGUCAGGCGGGAAGAAACCUCUGUAGUCGAAUAGGCUGCAGAACUGACGGUACCGCCAAAGGAAGCACCGGCUAACUCCGUGCCAGCAGCCGCAGUAA